CCUACGGGAGGCAGCAGUGGGGAAUAUUGCACAAUGGGGGAAACCCUGAUGCAGCGACGCCGCGUGAGUGAAGAAGUAUUUCGGUAUGUAAAGCUCUAUCAGCAGGAACGAGACAAGACGGUACCUGACUAAGAAGCCCCGGCUAACUACGUGCCAGCAGCCGCGGUAAUACGUAGGGGGCAAGCGUUAUCCGGAAUCACUGGGUGUAAAGGGAGCGUAGACGGCUGUGCAAGCCUGAAGUGAAAGGCGGGGGCCCAACCCCGGGACUGCUCUGGAAACUGCCUGGCUGGAGUACAGGAGAGGUAAGUGGAAUUCCUAGUGUAGCGGUGAAAUGCGUAGAUAUUAGGAGGAACACCAGUGGCGAAGGCGGCUUACUGGACUGUAACUGACGUUGAGGCUCGAAAGCGUGGGGAGCAAACAGGAUUAGAUAUCCUGGUAGUC
Molecule: ribosomal RNA, 441 nt
Filed under: uncultured bacterium
Lineage: Bacteria
Description: partial 16S ribosomal RNA
Rfam family: Bacterial small subunit ribosomal RNA
Source: RNAcentral